UGCAAAUGAAGCAAGGUUAAAGUCUCUUAUGAGGCCUAACUGGUUUUGUCUGCUUAGGGAUUCUUCAGGCCAGGUCUCCGGUCUAAUUUACUUUAACAGGAGGUAGAGGAAAUGUAACCGAUUGAAAGAAUUUUAUCUGGACCUUCCACAUAGGAAUUAUCCAGACUGCCUUGCCACUAGAUGAAUGGAAGACAAUGAUUUGAACUAAGGGCCAGCAAAGAAUUAUCCCUGGUUUUUGUGCUUUGCAGCAUUCCUCAAAUUGUUUUCACAUCUCUUACCAUAAAAACUGCAUUGAAAUUGAAAAUGAAGCAGUUGAAAAGAAAAAGGAAAAGCAAUUUUAGUGUUCAAGAAACUCAGACCCUUUUGAAAGAAAUUACGAAAAGGAAAGAAGUCAUUUUUUCCAAGCAGCUCAAUACAACAAUUAAUGUGAUGAAGCGAAUGGCUUGGGAAGAGAUUGCACAGUGUGUGAAUGCUGUAGGAGAAGGAGAACAGAGGACAGGGACAGAGGUGAAAAGAAG
This 518-nucleotide long non-coding RNA is filed under the name Homo sapiens (human). Its description in RNAcentral is "HSALNT0180666". The record is from RNAcentral. Lineage: Eukaryota; Metazoa; Chordata; Mammalia; Primates; Hominidae.